GCGAAAGUGGCGGAAUUGGCAGACGCGCCAGACUUAGGAUCUGGUGGGGUAACACCCGUGGGGGUUCGAGUCCCCCCUUUCGCACCA
RNAcentral lists this transfer RNA (87 nucleotides) under Rhodothermaceae bacterium. RNAcentral describes it as "tRNA-Leu". It matches the Rfam family "tRNA". From Rfam's summary of the family: Transfer RNA (tRNA) molecules are approximately 80 nucleotides in length. Their secondary structure includes four short double-helical elements and three loops (D, anti-codon, and T loops). RNAcentral also lists the same sequence under 1 other name. Lineage: Bacteria; Pseudomonadati; Rhodothermota; Rhodothermia; Rhodothermales; Rhodothermaceae. The record is from RNAcentral.